AUUGAACGCUGGCGGCAUGCCUUACACAUGCAAGUCGAACGGCAUCGCGGGAAAGCUUGCUUUCCUGGCGGCGAGUGGCGAACGGGUGAGUAACACAUCGGAACGUACCGGCUAGUGGGGGAUAACCCGUCGAAAGACGGGCUAAUACCUCAUACGCUCUUCGGAGGAAAGCAGGGGACCUUUGGGCCUUGCGCUAGCCGAGCGGCCGAUGUCCGAUUAGCUAGUUGGUGGGGUAAAGGCCUACCAAGGCGACGAUCGGUAGCGGGUCUGAGAGGACGAUCCGCCAGACUGGGACUGAGACACGGCCCAGACUCCUACGGGAGGCAGCAGUGGGGAAUCUUGGACAAUGGGGGCAACCCUGAUCCAGCAAUGCCGCGUGGGUGAAGAAGGCCUUCGGGUUGUAAAGCCCUUUCGGCAGGGAAGAAAUCGGAGGGGCGAAUAACCCUGCUGGAUGACGGUACCUGCAGAAGAAGCACCGGCUAACUACGUG
Molecule: ribosomal RNA, 490 nt
Filed under: uncultured bacterium
Lineage: Bacteria
Description: partial 16S ribosomal RNA
Rfam family: Bacterial small subunit ribosomal RNA
Source: RNAcentral